Ornithodoros turicata is the source of this 1321-nucleotide long non-coding RNA. RefSeq lists it as uncharacterized. NCBI's taxonomy places the organism in Eukaryota, Metazoa, Arthropoda, Arachnida, Ixodida, Argasidae. The transcript is spliced from 3 exons. The record is from RefSeq and is a predicted model, not a curated record.
CCUCUUUGUUCGGGUCAUUGGGUUGGUGUUGGAGUUGGUCACCAUAUUCUGAACGUUUCACCUAUCGUUGCGGUGUACUGUUCUUGAUCUGCUGCGAAGCGACGAACCGCAACGGCAGUCACUCGCCUCAGCGAACUUCUGUCUGCUGCAUCUCAAAGGAGCAUGGGGACCUGAUGAUACCUUCAACUAAAAAAACCAAAUGUGCUCUCGUGUGGUCCUGACGGAAAAGUAGUAUCAACAAGAACCCUCCACUUUUUCGACCAAGUUAUCGUUAUGAGAUCCUUCUGAUGGCUUCUUACUAGGCUAUGCCGCUCCGAAGCAUUGAGAUGACGAAGCGUCGUGGUAGCUGCACCUCUGCCUUCGAAAGAUGAAUCAGUCAUUCCACACUGUGCUUACUGGCUUUGUAUAGAGUCUGGCAAAUCCGACAGACUUGGACUGCCUUUUUCAAGAAAGUUUGAAAUAGCAUCCCUUAUGCACCUGCAUUUCAAUUCCAAUCUGUAUUACAAGAAUGACAGACCACUCAACAGAGAUGAACAUCUGAAAGUGAAAGAGCUGGAAUGAAGAUACGUUAAUCUGUGUCAAAGGUUCUUAGUAUGUGUGCGAGUCGAGGACAUAGGUCUCAAGCUUACUCCUGUCUCCAGAAGGGGUGACAACUAUGCUCCUUCUAUCUAUUAACCAGCUCCACUUUUUAGGGUUCCCUGUAAACUAAUGGAGCACAUCAUGUACUACCACGUUGUCAACCAAGUUGACUCUGUCAAUUUCUUUUUUUAAAUUCCAGCAUGGCUUUAGAAAAGGGUAUUCAGGCAAAACUAAAGUAGUGGAAUUCGUUCACAGCAUUUCAAACUGUCUUGAUUUCUGGGUCCAUGUAGAUGUAGUAUUCUUUUUAUUUUGUAAGGGCUUUUGACACUGUGCUCUACGCUCGCGUGUUGGCCAAAGUAGCCUAAUUAAAAUUUGAUGCUGCUACCUGGAUAUGCAGUUUCUCAACUAACCGUAACUGUGGCGACAACUCGUGAGGAGAACCUAUCAUAUCGCCGUGCAGCAAUGUUAUGUUAUGUUACAAUCGCUUCACAUUUUAAUCUAGUCAAAAGCAAGGCCUUUUGGUGAUCGGUCUUGUAUAAUUACGUGCCCCUCCGUUAUGUAACACCACACUGGGUUCUUCAACCUAUGAGAGAGAAAUAAAUAUAUUGCCAAGUAAACUGUCUACAAGGCUCGUUAUUCCAUUUCGCCACACUACCACAAGCAAUUGUUAGAGUAGUGGCCCAGGGUAUGAAGCUCGCCACUAAUCAUCAUUCAAACAAAGUUCAUAAUGUAAAAUGCUUUA